Molecule: long non-coding RNA, 3228 nt
Organism: Triticum aestivum (bread wheat)
Lineage: Eukaryota; Viridiplantae; Streptophyta; Magnoliopsida; Poales; Poaceae
Exons: 4
Source: RefSeq, a predicted model, not a curated record
CCCCAAUCCGACCCCAACCGCCAAACGAACCCUAGCCCCCUUUCUUCGUCCCCUCAAUCCCUAUAGCCGCUGCACCCCUCCCUCUCCCUUCUGUGCGUGCGCUCGACCAAGGACGUCGUCGUCGCCCUCGGCUGCUCCUCCACGCCGGGGUCUUCCUCCUCUUUCUCCUCGCCUUCCCAUCGGUUGCGCUCAGGUCGUCACCGUCGACGAAUAGGAUAGUGCGGGCCGCUUCCUCCUUUUCCUCCGGCCGGAUCUAUGGCGUGCGACCGCGGAGGCGAGCCUCUCCGGUGGCAGAGGCAAAGGGCGACCACAUGGAUCGAUCCCUGCAGGAGAUAGAAGAUGGGAGAGAGGGAAAGAAGGAAGGAGAGGAGGAAGACCCAGUGGCGGGCGGGAGAGGGUCACCAGCCGGCGCCGGCGAGGUCAAGUGCGACCUGAUGGUCGGCGGCGGCUCGAUCCACUCCUGGAUCUUUAUUGUUCCACUUCCCCACUACCUAACACCGAGCAAGAGGGCUGCCCGAGGAAGAGGGUGAGGACGCAGGGAUUGAAGAGGGUGUUCCCGCAUUCAUCGUCUGGCCAAGUGCAAGGACGAGGACGAGGACGCGGGGUGGAGCAUGUCAUCCCUCUGGUUAUCGCCUUCCUUUCUGCUGCUGGGCUGAGAUGAGGGUUUUCUCCAGCGAUUGUGGUGGCCUGAGUCAGAGAUCGACAGCCAGAUGCUUGUGGCUACCACACAAAACGUGCUCUCUUACUGACCUCGAGGUCCGGCCGCAAUUCCUCUUGUUUUUGCUCCAAGGUAUAGAAGAAGGACCUUUGCUUAAUGGUUGAUUUUCUUCUGCUCACGGCAGCUUGCUCGAGGCAAACAUGCAAGCCUGACGUGCACUGAUGGCGCUGCCGGCAGUAUCAAGGAUGGAAACAGCAAGACACUCUUUUAGGUCAGAGAAACUGGCGGUGCCAAUGAUAACGCCUGAACCUUCGUGACUGCAGCAGCCACCAUCAUGUUGUAGCUCAGCCAGACCACGACCAUCGAUAGGUGACCAUCUUCAUUGAGGUAUAGAAAACAAUCCAUGUAUUGCCAUGCUUAUGUUCUCUAAAGUUUUACAUCCUUCAAUCCCACUCAUUGACAAGACUUAGACAAACACUUUUACUGGUGAUGGUGGGGCCUUUUUUAACUGAGAUGUGCAAGAUGCAUCUUAUCCCCCGAGAAAUAUUGCCUUUAAUUUCUUGAUUUUUUUCCUGGCAUGCUAAUUUAGAGCCAGAUAUGCAUGAUUCAUAAUACACAUUACAGUCAAUUAUCCAUUGGAAUCUUUUGUCCAUAGAGGUGAUUUUGUUUGGACCAUUAGUCUAGGUAGUGACAUUUUGAUCGAUAAGGCACAAGUUUAUUUUCUUUUUGACUCAGGGCUACACUAAAGUAAGAAUCACCGUUAGUGAAAAGAAGGCAUACAAAUCAUGAAGCUUUUGCCUUGGUUGAGUUCCUCAUUUAAUUGUCACUUAUUUAUUUGAAGGAAGUUAUUCAAUUCUCAUCGGGCUUUCCUUAAUGCUUUCCAUUUCUAAAUAAGAAAUUUAAUACUCGAUAUUUUUAAUAUGUGAGGAGGCGGGGGGGGGGGGAGAGAAAAGGGGCUGUCAGGUCGGACUUUUGGUGCGUCUCUGACCAGAGAUAGCUGGAUCCAUCUGAUGCUCUUCCAAACAGUGCAGUGCAGAUUUGCUGACUGGUAAAAGGAAAAGAGAACAUUGGAGGAAAAGGCAAUAUGGCAGAUUCUCUAAGCUUUCUCAAAUGUUUGAAGGAAAAGAUAGUUACAAUUAUUUUUCUCUCGCCUUAUUACAUCUUGAUGUUAAUAGGCGUUGGAAGGUACUAUGGACCACAUUCAAGGUUUACCGAAUUUGCACAAUCCUAUUACAGUUUAUUCUGAUGAAAGAAUUGACCAGUUCUUCCUUGAGUAAAUUAGUAUUGCUGAUGCUACUCCUUUGUGCAUUGUUACAUAGAGUUAUAGUUGUGAAGAUAGUUACAAUUAUUUUUCUCUCGCCUUAUUACAUCUUGAUGUUAAUAGGCGUUGGAAGGUACUAUGGACCACAUUCAAGGUUUACCGAAUUUGCACAAUCCUAUUACAGUUUAUUUUGAUGAAAGAAUUGACCAGUUCUUCCUUGAGUAAAUUAGUAUUGCUGAUGCUACUCCUUUGUGCAUUGUUACAUAGAGUUAUAGUUGUGAAGGUGUGUACGAAUCAACAUAUAAUGCCCACCAUCCUAUUACAGUUUGUUUUGAUGACAAAUUGUGCAGCUCUUACUUGAGUAAAUUGUGCAGAUCUUCCUUGAGUAAAUUAGUAUUGUGGUUACUAAUCCUUUGUGCAUUUGGGUACAGCUCUACUGAAAUACUUCCUCCGUUCCUAAAUAUAAGUCUUUCUAGAGAUUACACUACAAACUACAUACGGAUGUAUAUAGACAUAUUUUAGAGUGUAGAUUCACUCAUUUUGCUCGGUAUAUAGUCCGUAAUAGAAUCUCUAAAAAGACUUAUAUUUAGGAACGGAGGGAGUACUUCAUAUGCCCAUUUUAAACCCAGACCUGACUUUAAAUCAUUUCUGUUCUCCUGAAUUUUAGUCCGCUUCAGCAAUGCUAUGACCUGCCACUCCAUGUAUACAUGAAAAACGACCACAGUUUUGCUGUUGUGUUUUGGUCAAUCAUCUGCGUUUCAAUUCCUACUGAUCUCUCAUCUAUUUGGCAAUUGAUGCCACCCGAAGGGCUGCCAACCCAAGACAACAUCGGUACUAUCCUUCAAUAAAGAAAAUACAUGCAUGCAGAGAAAUCUGAAAUAGUAGGAAAUGUGAAAUCUCACCAGUUGAUCUCUCGCCCAAAUGAGGAACCAUGGAAGAAAAGGGGAUAAACAUGCAUGAUGGAUGCAGUACGUGCUGCUUCAUAUUCUAUUAUGGACCGGCAACACAUAGAAUUAUUUGUGGACUGGGCUAGGUAGCAUAUGGGCCUUUCAAAUAACUAUGCCCUCAUAAAAGUUUGAUACAAACACUGCUAAAAAAUUACAUCUUUGACUGGUCUAUACAUCUUAUACAAAUAUAUUCUUUUUCAAACUCAGAUUUUUCAGCGUGAUAACCAUAUUUUCAACUAAAAAAUGCCAUCUAAACAGGUCUAUACAUUUUUAUACAAAUAUGAUUUUUUUUCAAACUCGGAUUUAUCAGUGUGAUAAACACAUCUUCAAUAUAGCAUGAUUUAACACAUGGGAUUUCUACU